AUUGUUUCUAGUGUUUCCGGACAAUUUCAAGUUGAAAAAGACCUUAUAAACGAAUUAAUUUGAAUUUAACUUAUCACCUGGCGAUAUUGCGUGUCUCAAUUUUUUUAAUGUCGUUUUCAAUAAACGACAAUAGCAGUUCUUUUGUCAACAAAGUGAAGGAUCCGAUGUCAGAUCUAUUUUUCUCUCCAGGUUAAAAUCCAAUUCCUUUUUUCUUCUGCUUGGAAUUUUUUAAAGCGUCCUCACAAAUGUCUUAGACAUUUAACAACAUUUUAUCAUCGGAUCGGAGAUGAGAACAACAAAUAAAAAAUAAGUGUCAAAAACACGCAACCGAAAAACAUCACAGUGUAAUAAUGCGAGAUUGACGGGAUGAGUGUUCAAAAGAAAAUAUGCGAAACAUGCAGCAUACAGAAAGUCUAAUUGUAAAAACACCCUUUUCAUUGGCACGAUUGGAUUUAUAUUUUUCAUUUCGAGAAUUAUAUUGAUUUUAGAUAUUAUAGUCUUUUCAGACCGAACCCAAAACCAAGUUUUCGGCAAAAUGUUUUCGAAAACCCUAAAAUAAGUCACACUGAGCACGUUUUCGUUUGGCAUUUCAAUUUUUACAACAUCGACUGUCAAAUAUUGUAUUGAUCCAAAAUUCAAUGAGCAGCAGAUUUUGCAUAUAAUUUUUCUGCAAUGAACUAAAGGACCUGGAAAUUCAAGCUACAAACCUUGGAGGUGUGUACCAUUAUCUCUGGAAAAAAAGUUUUCCUAAACACGGGAUCGGAAAUAAUUAAUUUUAACUAUGUUUUCUUUAUAGUACGUUUCCACCAAAAAAUAAUCCUAGAUUUAAGACAAAUGAUUUAAAAUAAAUCAUCAGGUAUUUCCACCAAAGAAAAGGAGAUUAAUUUGACGUUGUCAUAACAACCAAAC
This is a long non-coding RNA of Eupeodes corollae, 909 nucleotides long. RefSeq lists it as uncharacterized. The record is from RefSeq and is a predicted model, not a curated record. The transcript is spliced from 3 exons. Lineage: Eukaryota; Metazoa; Arthropoda; Insecta; Diptera; Syrphidae.